UACAGAGGGUGCGAGCGUUGUCCGGAAUCACUGGGCGUAAAGGGCGCGUAGGCGGCUUGAUAAGCGUGCGGUGAAAGCCCGGGGCUCAACCCCGGGUCGGCCGCGGGUACUGCCGGGCUGGAGUGCCGUAGGGGCAGGCGGAAUUCCGGGUGUAGCGGUGGAAUGCGUAGAGAUCCGGAAGAACACCGGUGGCGAAGGCGGCCUGCUGGGCGGCGACUGACGCUGAGGCGCGACAGCGUGGGGAGCAAACAGG
Molecule: ribosomal RNA, 253 nt
Filed under: uncultured bacterium
Lineage: Bacteria
Description: partial 16S ribosomal RNA
Rfam family: Bacterial small subunit ribosomal RNA
Source: RNAcentral